UGGGGAAUAUUGCGCAAUGGGGGAAACCCUGACGCAGCAACGCCGCGUGAUCGAAGAAGGCCUUCGGGUUGUAAAGAUCUUUAAUUAGGGACGAUAAUGACGGUACCUAAAGAAUAAGCUCCGGCUAACUACGUGCCAGCAGCCGCGGUAAUACGUAGGGAGCGAGCGUUAUCCGGAUUUACUGGGUGUAAAGGGCGAGUAGGCGGGCCGGUAAGUUGGGAGUGAAAUCUGGGGGCUCAACCCCCAAACUGCUUUCAAAACUAUUGGUCUUGAGUGAUGGAGAGGCAGGCGGAAUUCCGUGUGUAGCGGUGAAAUGCGUAGAUAUACGGAGGAACACCAGUGGCGAAGGCGGCCUGCUGGACAUUAACUGACGCUGAGGAGCGAAAGCGUGGGGAGCAAACAGG
RNAcentral lists this ribosomal RNA (404 nucleotides) under uncultured prokaryote. Its description in RNAcentral is "bacterial SSU rRNA". It matches the Rfam family "Bacterial small subunit ribosomal RNA", at positions 355 to 776 of the family's 1533-position model. RNAcentral also lists the same sequence under 1 other name. The record is from RNAcentral.